CCAUAAAAGCGGCGUGAUGGACGAGGGGCGGGGGCGUUCGGCCCGUGCGGCAGGGACUCCUGGGAAAUGCCGCGCAGAGCCGUGAAAGCGGCUGGUGGACGAGAGAGAUUCUAGGUUCGUGAGGCGGAGGCCGGGAAAUGCGCGGUGCAAGAGCGCUGGAUCCACAAGCUUCAUUCUGACGGCGCUUCUCCACACUGGCCGGGGUGGUUCUUUCCGAGAGCAGCAGCCAAGCCCAGUCUGCGACUUCCCCAGCACGGGCAGAACCAGCUUUGAAGUGGCAGCUGCGGGGCUCCAAGUCCCACCCAGGACCUCCCCGCACGCGCUCUGUCCGUGAACACUACGGACCGUUUUACACAGGAAUGUCCACUGCAGGAACGACUGAGGAAAUCCACAGAAGCAGCACUCGAGCUCAAUUCCUGGCAAGGAUUAGGUCAUUCCGCAUUUGACUUGGCCUCGGUGGCCUUCACCAGAGGACAGCAUUCUGAUCAGAGUACUUGUGUAGGUAAAAAUGGACUCUGAAUCAAAUGAAGACCCAGCUUUUGGGGAAGAUACUACAUCACUGAACUGAUCCUUCCUCGAUCUCGGGAAGCACUGAGCCUAGCACACACAAGAGAAACGCUGUGCGAACAAGAACAUUCUCCAAAUUCAAGUUCAGAUUUUGCUACCAUCAGACAUCAUGGUUAUAAAACUAGACUUAUCACCAAAUUACC
Molecule: long non-coding RNA, 710 nt
Organism: Mustela lutreola (European mink)
Lineage: Eukaryota; Metazoa; Chordata; Mammalia; Carnivora; Mustelidae
Exons: 3
Source: RefSeq, a predicted model, not a curated record